GCGGGCCUAGCUUAAUGGUAGAGCGCCAUCUUCCCAGAUGGAGGAACGGUUCAAUUCCGGAAGCCCGCUCCA
This 72-nucleotide transfer RNA is filed under the name Bradyrhizobium sp. AS23.2. Its description in RNAcentral is "tRNA-OTHER". It matches the Rfam family "tRNA". Rfam says of the family: Transfer RNA (tRNA) molecules are approximately 80 nucleotides in length. Lineage: Bacteria; Pseudomonadati; Pseudomonadota; Alphaproteobacteria; Hyphomicrobiales; Nitrobacteraceae. The record is from RNAcentral.